UUUUUUAAAACUUAUAUUAUAUUAUAUCAUUUGAAACUUUCUCUCAAAUCCCUCCAAGAUCGAGCUCUCCUAAAAAUUUAAAGAACAUUCUCUCCCCCUUAUCUGUCUCUCGACUCCCUCUCUCCCCUCUCAACUCCGCCGCCGACGCCGCUGCCCUGCACCGGCCCGUCGCCGCCCACCCUUGCUGCUGCCCCGUGCCCUAGUUCUUCUCUAUUCGAUUGGUCGAGCCCUAGUUCUUCUCUGUUCGAAACAACCCAGCCCUAGUUCUUCUCUGUUCGCGACCUAAAGCCCGCCCAUCGUUGCUGGUGGUCCGAGGAUCGGCGAGCCGAUGGUGUUCUACGGCCGGUUCUCUUCUCAACUCCACAUAAUCGAGGCAGGAAAGGGGGAAAGCCCUAAUUCUCUAAUUUGCAAUCGAGAGCAGAUGAGGUUGAUAAUUGGGCGUCGAACAAGAGUUUUGCCCCUUCUCCCUCUCUCUACCUCCUCUCUGCGCCGCCUUUGUCUCCGGCGAGCAGCCGCUAGCCGCCACCUUCUCCAGCCUGGCGUCGCCCCCCAUCCCCAUCACCCCUCUCUCGCUUCCACCACCACGAGCAACCUCCAUCGUCGGCUCAGCGCCCACCACCGCUCCAAUCGCACCACCACUACCCCUGGCACCUGCCUCCAGCCUCUGACUCCGACAACAGUCGCCCUCAUUCUUCAGGAGAAACUGUUUGUUUCCCCAAAGUUAGGGCUGAAACUGUGCAUGCUAAUUAGGUUGUUCGAAGCAGAAGAAGUGUUGGAAUAACAAAUCUGCUGCUGUUGCUGCUUUGAUAUGCACCUUUUCUUUCUCUUAAUCUAGAUGCUCUUGCCGAACAACUUGCAAAAGCAAAGCUGUCAGAGAGGUUAUAUCUACAAUCAGACCUGUUACCCCUAGAGCUGGUUUGAAAGUACACGGUGAUAGAGAGAUUGAUAAAGAGAUAAGCUUCAAGGUGAGUUUUAUAUCCUCUUGCUUUUAGUUUUAGUUUUAUAUCCUCUUCCUACAUUUUAUACCAUUGCUUUUAGUGCUAAUACUCACUAUUAGCACUUUCCACUCAUUUUCUUUGCAACUUUAUCGCUUGCAUGCUGAGAGGUUGGUAUUUGGUAAUCUGCUUAUCAAUCUCUUUUAUUGAAUAAUUUGGAACAAUUUAAUAUAUUGAGAAGGGUGAGGUUGGAAUUGGUGUUAGUUCUUAUUUAGCAUACUAGAACUCUAUCAAACAGGUAAACUAUCUAAUAUAUUUUUCUGAAGCAUACUUGUUUGGUUUCAUGAUGCUCUAUUACUCUGGUUUCUUAUCAUCCCUCUCUCCACCAAAUUUAUUAGGCUUGGCCUUUUGUUAUUGUUCUUUGUGUUUCUUUUGGUUCCUGGUAGUGGUAAUACAUAUCAUUGCAAAGAUACUGAAAGGUACUUUUUCAUGGUUGGCCAAGAAAUAACUUCCCAAUUCUGGUGCCCCCAGUUAGCUUCAGUGAACGAGAAUCGGGAAUAUGUUAUAGUAGGUGGUGGAAAUUCAGUUGGUUAUGCUGCUCGGACUUUUGUUGAGCAUGGAGUGGCUGAUGGGAAGCUCUGCAUUGUCUCCAAAGAGGUUUUUCAUUCUAUAAUAUGGCACAAAACUUUGUGUUGCUGCGCUGCUUUAGUUGUUCUUGUGGAGUAUCAGACAAUGAAAUUUUGUGUAUUUUGUGAACCAUAAUUAGCUUGCCUUUUUCUCAAUUCGGAUGGUUUGUUUAUAGUAGUACUCUACUUGUUUCAGUCUGUUCUUUUUCCCUAUCUUUGCUUUGUUUUCCUCUUCUUCUUUUCCUUCUCGUAGUUAAUUAAAAUGCCAAUUCACAGAUAGAUCCUAAAUUUGCUUCUUCUUUUGUCUGAUCUUCCUGGUCUCACUGAUACUGAGAAACCAAGGAUGAGAGGUCCAAAGAGGGCUUCAAAGAUCCGCAAGCUCUUCAACCUUAACAAGGAAGAUGAUGUUAGGAAGUAUGUCAACACAUACCGUCGCACAUUCACCACCAAAUCUGGCAACAAAGUCAGCAAAGCUCCUAAGAGUGGAGAUGAGAAAGUGAUAGGAGGACUUUCAUGCUUGAUGUCGGAAAUUGGUCAAGCUGUGGGUAUCUUUUUACAAUUAUUUUGAGGUCAAAAGACAACCAGAGAAUCAUAGCAGGUUGACUAACUAGUUCUUGAGGACUUGGUGCUAGAAACAUUGUAUGAUAGAUUUUUAUUUUAGCUAUAAGGUAGUUGGUAUUUUCAAUUUUGAAUAGGAAUAUGCAAUGAUGAU
This is a long non-coding RNA of Salvia miltiorrhiza (redroot sage), 2273 nucleotides long. RefSeq lists it as uncharacterized. Lineage: Eukaryota; Viridiplantae; Streptophyta; Magnoliopsida; Lamiales; Lamiaceae. The record is from RefSeq and is a predicted model, not a curated record. The transcript has 7 exons.